UAUUUCUUCUACCAUACUAUU
RNAcentral lists this microRNA (21 nucleotides) under Solanum tuberosum (potato). Its description in RNAcentral is "stu-miR8051-3p". The record is from miRBase by way of RNAcentral. Lineage: Eukaryota; Viridiplantae; Streptophyta; Magnoliopsida; Solanales; Solanaceae.